GUUUUACGUUCUUAUCAUCCUAUUUUAGGCUUUAUAAUUAGAACCAAGAGCUUCUGUGUUGGUAGAAAACUGCGUGUUCUCUUAAGCCCUUUCCCUUUCUUUUCACAGACUGAAAAUGGGGAAUCUGUUCUUGAGGCCUCUCCUUAGGGAGAGCAGCUGGGCGUCUCUAUGGGAAGGUAGCGACAUCUGGGCCUGGACGCCAGAUUGCUUUGCUCCCCGUCUGCUGAGAGCUUGGGCGCUGCAGGUGAGCAGCCACAUCGCAAGAUGAACUCAGGAAUUCUGGAAAUGCCUUGGAUAACUCACUCUCUGGGGAGUUUGGUAUAUUUUCGUACGAUGAUGAGGGGAAAGGAUUGAAGAUUCUGGCAAGGGCUGCGGGGUGAAAAGUAUCAUUUCCCCCCACUUUGGGAAUGAAUGUUGUUGAAUAUAUAUUGGAAAGAAAACAGAUCUUCCUGCUAACCGUUGUAAAGGAAUUACAUUAGAAAACAGAAGAAUUGACUGAGGCUUUUAAGUAACACAGGGAAUCCUCUGGGAAUGGGUCAACUGUCUUGCAUCCUCACUCGCCAGACUGGAGACAAUGGGGGUAAAAAAUUAAUAACAACCUCAACAAAUGCCUUUCUGAAUUUAAUGUAGUGCACUGUUGUCCCCAUUAACAGAUGCACACCUCUGAACUGAAUAGGACGGCAUUUGCAGUCUUAAUGCACAUUUACACAGGAGUAAGCUGAGAUAAACCCAGUGGGAUUUGGCUUAUAAGUAGAUGAGUUGGAUGCUCAUGUCAGAACUUUGCAUAAAAUAAAAUAUCAUCCAGUA
Candoia aspera is the source of this 807-nucleotide long non-coding RNA. RefSeq lists it as uncharacterized. NCBI's taxonomy places the organism in Eukaryota, Metazoa, Chordata, Lepidosauria, Squamata, Candoiidae. The record is from RefSeq and is a predicted model, not a curated record. The transcript has 4 exons.